Molecule: long non-coding RNA, 536 nt
Organism: Passer domesticus (house sparrow)
Lineage: Eukaryota; Metazoa; Chordata; Aves; Passeriformes; Passeridae
Exons: 2
Source: RefSeq, a predicted model, not a curated record
CGAGGCCCUGCAGUGUCACAAGGGCCCCUUGGUUCUGUGGAGCCCACAAGGUCAGUUUUGCCAGGGGGCAGGAUCAGCACCAAAGACACAGACACCAACUGAAGGAACUGUCUAAUUUUUAUAAGGUGUGGCCAUUGGACCAAGAAGACAAUGGUUCUCACCUAUUGCUGAGAACACAGACUGGCUGUACCUUCUUUUCCCCUCAGCGAUUUCAAUGGACUUCUUCUUUAUUGGAUCUGUUCCCCUUCAGUGAUUUCAAGACCUGUUGCCUCCUUAGGAAUGGACUAUACUAGAACCUUGAGGUAACCAGGUGUUUUGAGAUUCUUCCUCACCUGAGAAAAGGGAUGUAUUAGCCGGACCAUGAGGAUUUUGUCUCUCUGUUGGUAGCAAUAUUCUGCCUUCUCUCUCUCUCUCUCUCUCUCUCUCUCUCUCUCUCUCUCUCUAUCCUUUAUCUCUUUUCUAAUCCUUCUAUGGCAUUUGCUGCGGGCACUCAAUAAAAGGUGCAUUUGUGUUGAUGAAUGCUGAAAUCCCCUCAA